GUAGGUGGCAAGCGUUGUCCGGAAUUAUUGGGCGUAAAGCGCGCGCAGGCGGUUCUUUAAGUCUGAUGUGAAAGCCCACGGCUCAACCGUGGAGGGUCAUUGGAAACUGGGGAACUUGAGUACAGAAGAGGAAAGCGGAAUUCCACGUGUAGCGGUGAAAUGCGUAGAGAUGUGGAGGAACACCAGUGGCGAAGGCGGCUUUCUGGUCUGUAACUGACGCUGAGGCGCGAAAGCGUGGGGAGCAAACAGGGAUUAGAUACCCUGGUAGUCCACGCCGUAAACGAUGAGUGCUAAGUGUUAGGGGGUUUCCCGCCCCUUAGUGCUGCAGCUAACGCAUUAAGCACUCCGCCUGGGGAGUGCGGCCGCAAGGCUG
This 373-nucleotide ribosomal RNA is filed under the name uncultured organism. RNAcentral's name for it is "partial 16S ribosomal RNA". It matches the Rfam family "Bacterial small subunit ribosomal RNA", at positions 527 to 896 of the family's 1533-position model. The record is from RNAcentral.